CGUGUAGGCGGUUUGGCAAGUCGAGUGUGAAAUCCCACGGCUCAACCGUGGAACUGCGCUCGAAACUGCCUUACUUGAGUGCGGGAGAGGGUGUGCGGAAUUCCUGGUGUAGCGGUGGAAUGCGUAGAUAUCAGGAAGAACACCGGUGGCGAAGGCGGCACACUGGCCCAGCACUGACGCUGAGGCGCGAAAGCGUGGGGAGCGAACG
Molecule: ribosomal RNA, 208 nt
Filed under: uncultured bacterium
Lineage: Bacteria
Description: partial 16S ribosomal RNA
Rfam family: Bacterial small subunit ribosomal RNA
Source: RNAcentral